This 125-nucleotide ribosomal RNA is filed under the name Salmonella enterica. RNAcentral describes it as "partial 23S ribosomal RNA". It matches the Rfam family "Bacterial large subunit ribosomal RNA", at positions 2806 to 2925 of the family's 2925-position model. The record is from RNAcentral. RNAcentral also lists the same sequence under 2 other names. Lineage: Bacteria; Pseudomonadati; Pseudomonadota; Gammaproteobacteria; Enterobacterales; Enterobacteriaceae.
GAGUUCUCCCUGAGACUUUAGGUCUCCUGAAGGAACGUUGAAGACGACGACGUUGAUAGGCCGGGUGUGUAAGCGCAGCGAUGCGUUGAGCUAACCGGUACUAAUGAACCGUGAGGCUUAACCUU